Pelobates cultripes (western spadefoot toad) is the source of this 1050-nucleotide non-coding RNA. The record is from the annotation of a GenBank genome assembly. NCBI's taxonomy places the organism in Eukaryota, Metazoa, Chordata, Amphibia, Anura, Pelobatidae.
AAAUACUGUGUGGCAGGCUGGUAUUGUUAGAAAUACUGUGUGCCAGGCUGGUAUUGUUAUAUCUAUUGUGUGCCAGGCUGGUAUUUUUAUAAAUACCGUGUGCCAGGCUGGUAUUGUUAUAAAUACUGGGGGCAGGCUGGUAUUGUUUUAUCUAUUGUGUGCCAGGAUGGUAUUGUUAUAUUUAUUGUGUGCCAGGCUGAUGUUGUUAUAAAUACUGUGUGCCAGGCUGGUAUUGUUAUAAAUAUUGUGUGGCAGGCUGGUAUUGUUAUAAAUACUGUGUGCCAGGCUGGUUUUGUUAUAUCUAUUGUGUGCCAGUCUGGUAUUGUUAUAAAUGCUGUGUGCCAGGAUGGUAUUGUUAUAUCUAUUGUGUGCCAGUCUGGUAUUGUUAUAAAUAUUGCGUGGCAGGCUGGUAUUGUUAUAAAUACUGUGUGGCAGGCAGGUAUUGUUAUAUCUAUUGUGUGCCAGUCUGGUAUUGUUAUAAAUGCUGUGUGGCAGGCUUGUAUUGUUAUAUCUAUUGUGUGCCAGGAUGGUGUUGUUAUAAAUACUGUGUGCCAGGCUGUUGUUAUAUCUAUUGUGUGCCAGGAUGGUAUUGUUAUAUCUAUUGUGUGCCAGGAUGGUAUUGUUAUAAAUACCUUUUGCCAGGCUGGUAUUGUUAUAAAUACUGUGUGCCAGGCUGGUAUUGUUAUAUCUAUUGUGUGCCAGGCUGGUAUUGUUAUAAAUACUGUGUGCCAGUCUGGUAUUGUUAUAUCUAUUGUGUGCCAGGCUGGUAUUUUUAUAAAUACUGGGGGCAGGCUGGUAUUGUUGUAUCUAUUGUGUGCCUGGAUGGUAUUGUUAUAUUUAUUGUGUGCCAGGCUGAUGUUGUUAUAAAUACUGUGUGCCAGGCUGGUAUUGUUAUAAAUACUGUGUGCCAGGCUGUGCUGCUUGGUAUUGUAAUAUACCUUCUUAGCCUUACUCUGGGGAAGACAUGGUGGAAUACAGGAGAGUGUCAGAUGGAUGUUUUUGCAAAAUAAAAAUAAAAAACUGUUUAAAUAUAUUCCAGUAAAAUAUCAG